Molecule: ribosomal RNA, 468 nt
Filed under: uncultured bacterium
Lineage: Bacteria
Description: partial 16S ribosomal RNA
Rfam family: Bacterial small subunit ribosomal RNA
Source: RNAcentral
GACGAACGCUGGCGGCGCGCCUAACACAUGCAAGUCGAACGGAGCUGCGAGAAGCUUGCUUUUCUUAGCUUAGUGGCGAACGGGUGAGUAACGCGUGAGUAACCUGCCCUGGAGUGGGGGACAACAGUUGGAAACGACUGCUAAUACCGCAUAAGCCCACGAUCCGGCAUCGGAUUGAGGGAAAAGGAUUUAUUCGCUUCAGGAUGGACUCGCGUCCAAUUAGCUAGUUGGUGAGGUAACGGCCCACCAAGGCGACGAUUGGUAGCCGGACUGAGAGGUUGAACGGCCACAUUGGGACUGAGACACGGCCCAGACUCCUACGGGAGGCAGCAGUGGGGGAUAUUGCACAAUGGGGGAAACCCUGAUGCAGCGACGCCGCGUGGAGGAAGAAGGUUUUCGGAUUGUAAACCCCUGUCGUUAGGGACGAUAAUGACGGUACCUAACAAGAAAGCACCGGCUAACUACGUG